UUUAUAAAGAGUUUGAUCCUGGCUCAGGACGAACGCUGGCGGCGCGCCUAACACAUGCAAGUCGAACGAGCGAGAGAGAGCUUGCUUUCUCGAGCGAGUGGCGAACGGGUGAGUAACGCGUGAGGAACCUGCCUCAAAGAGGGGGACAACAGUUGGAAACGACUGCUAAUACCGCAUAAGCCCACGGCUCGG
This 192-nucleotide ribosomal RNA is filed under the name Faecalibacterium prausnitzii. RNAcentral's name for it is "partial 16S ribosomal RNA". It matches the Rfam family "Bacterial small subunit ribosomal RNA", at positions 1 to 189 of the family's 1533-position model. The record is from RNAcentral. Lineage: Bacteria; Bacillati; Bacillota; Clostridia; Eubacteriales; Oscillospiraceae.